CAAAAGAAUAUGGACAGAUUUCUUAAAAGAAAAGCUCCAGAUGCUUCUGGACCAUGAACUUCAUCCUCAGGUAGCUAAAGCCUUUCGCCUCCACUGACUGCGCGCGCACCUCCACAAACGAACGAUGCGUUUAUACUUCACUUCAAAGAAUCAUAUACGAAUCAUAUAAAACCCAUUAACCCUUGAGAUCAUCACUUCAGACAUUACAGCACAGCUAUAACCACGAGAACAUGAUUAAAACGAAAUGGAUCAACCUCAAUUUAUUUUAUUUUAUUCGUUUCAUUAAGAUUUUUUUAAACAUGGACCUUCACUCGCAUUAAAUAGACUUAUUAUUAUUGAGCUAUCAUAGGCUCAUUUUGUAAAUGUUAGCAAUAACUGUAAACAAAAAGUGGGAGCUUCCUGCAGAUGUCAUUUCUCACGUUUACAAAAUCAGGUGUCAUUAUGUUCGCCCAUCAGUGUAAACGUCUCUACGUAUAAAGACAGAAGAAUGAGGUUUAAUCACUGUCUGAUGGAGUAGUGUAGUGACUGUGUUUAUUUGUGAAGAUUGAAAACAUGGUGCACUCCAGAAAACUUUCCGCUUUGGCUUUAUUCUUUCAGCAGUAUGUACAAAGCAAAUCGAAAUGACUAUUUUUAAAAAAGCUUUCCAUGUUUUUUUUUUGCCAUCUGGAUAUCUCUAUGGUCCCUCAUAGAUGAAUCAUAACGAUGCCUGUACAAUCGGACCUUUCAGCAAGAGUCAACUCCAAGUCACUCACUUCAUAGCCGUGCGAACUGGCACGGAACGCCUGCACUCCAGCUCGACCUGCCCACCGCAGUGACGUCAAUUUAUCCGCACUGUGACUUGCGCUAUUGCGGACGCGUCGAGUAAUAGCCCAGGUUUAACGCUAACGGUUUCUUUCAAAAUGUUCAAACGGUGCUGUGACUGAAAAAGGCUGGGAAACACUGUUCUAUGACAGGCUUUUUGCUUCUCUUUUCUUUGCUCGGCGGUAAUCAGCGCUACAGUAGCUACAGAAAUGUCUCCAGCCGGCUGUUUUAUUUGGCUCUUUAUUCUUUUACUCCUGGGACGCCGCGGCGUUCUAACUUUGCAGAAUUGCUCUGAGCUGCACAACAUCACCUGUGAUCGCAUGGGUAAUGCCAUGUUGAACACUAGUGAGAUUUACCUGAUGAGGAACGACUGCAUGUGGAGUUUUAGAGACACGGAGGAUAAAGUUCUUGAACUACUAACACCAUCUCCAAAUGUGUCUGUCCAAUGUACCUUGCAUGAAAUUCGCUUGAAGGUGCACUGUAUCACCCCAAAGUAUGAGUAUUGGGCUUGCUACAAUCUUACUAAUCAAACUAACAGUCAAACCGGUGCGCCAAGUCCUCAUGGAACAUCCAAGCAUAGAGUGCGUGAGUUGGUGAUCAUAGCUGUGGCUCUGUUUCUGAUGGCGCUGGUUGGUCUUGUCAUUGUUUCAAAAAAGGACAAAAAGGCUACUGUCCAUGUUGGAAGAUAUCCCGUGGUCCUGGAAGGGGCAACGAAAGCAACGAAAACAACUAAGACGAUUGCUGAAAUCCCUGGAAUUGAGUUAAGAACUGUUCAUGUUCAGUGCUACUUCAAAGAAAUAUGUUUAACUCUUGGUUAGUGAUCAUUGUGAAAUAUAGGGCUACUUAAUAGACGUAAGAUUAGUUUCAUAAUAGUAAUAUUAGAUAACAAAAUACAUUAUUAUUAUUAUUAUUAUUAUUAUGAUUAUGAUUAUUAUUAUUAUUAUUAUUAUUAUUAUUAUCCAUCCAUCUUCUAUACCGCUUAUCCUUUUCAGGGUCACGGGGAACUUGGAGCCUAUCCCAGCGAGCAUGAGGCACAAGGCGGGGUACACCCUGGACAGGGUGCCAAUUCAUCGCAGGGCACAAUCACACACAAUCAAGCUGUCUUGAUUGUUUUAUUUUCUUUGUCACACUGUUCUUCUGUUUCUGCUUGCAUAUUUUACAAAUAUGAAUUGAUAUCUUUUGAAAAAAAAUAUGUUUAAAUAGCAUUUAUGUUUCUGUAUUGUGUUAUAUUUUUAUGCUAGUAACUGGUGUUAAAAAUUGGUCCGACCCUCAAUGAGCCGGUGUGUUAUGAUGUGGCGUGUUGUGGGCCGGGUGUGGAGGUCCACUCUGGUGGACCACUUUUUUUGGUCCCAGUCCACCCCUGAUUAUUGCUAUAAUGCUAAAUAAAAUGUGCUGAAAUUUUAAAUAUCGACGUUCAAACACCCCAAUGAGGGCCCCAUUUCCUACAUUUUGCCUAGGGCACCCAAAUCACUAAAUCCGCCCUUGGCUAUGUUUAAAUAGUGAAAGUAAGAACAUUUCCACAUGCACAACGCGGUGAUAACUUGAAGGAUACACAGCUAUGUGGCCUAAUGAGUGUGAGGUUAAUCAGAUAAAAACGACUUCAGUUUGCUAGAGAGCAUAAAGAUUGGACUGUGGAGCAAAGGAAAAAGGUCAUGUGGCCUGAUGAGUCCAGAUUUACCCUACAAAGCCAUGGGUACAUCAGGGUAAGAAGGGAAGCACAUGAAGCGAUGCACCCAUCAUUCACAAUCCCUGCUACAAGCCUGCUACACAUGAAUUAGCCACCACAGAGUCCUGACCUUAACCGCAUUGAAAGUCUUUAUAAUAAUGUAUUAAACGUUAUAUGAUUUUUAAAUGAUGUAACUCUGGAUGGAAAUAAAUGUUGUCACGUUGUAAAGGUUGUCGAAACAAUGCCAUGAUGAAUGCGC
Molecule: long non-coding RNA, 2726 nt
Organism: Ictalurus punctatus (channel catfish)
Lineage: Eukaryota; Metazoa; Chordata; Actinopteri; Siluriformes; Ictaluridae
Source: Ensembl